CAGCAGCCGCGGUAAUACGAGGGGUGCAAGCGUUAUUCGGAUUGAUUGGGUGUAAAGGGUGUGCAGACGGCUUAUUAAGUCACUUGUUAAAUUCUUCGGCCUAACUGAAGGUCUGCAAGUGACACUGAUGAGCUAGAGGGUGGAAGAGAGAAGUGGAAUUCUCGGAGUAGCGGUAAAAUGCGUAGAUCUCGAGAGGAACACCAAUGGCGAAGGCAGCUUCUUGGUCCAUUCCUGACGUUCAUACACGAAAGCGUGGGGAGCAAACAGGAUUAGAUACCCCCGUAGUCCCUGUCUCUUAUAC
RNAcentral lists this ribosomal RNA (301 nucleotides) under uncultured bacterium. RNAcentral describes it as "partial 16S ribosomal RNA". It matches the Rfam family "Bacterial small subunit ribosomal RNA", at positions 509 to 807 of the family's 1533-position model. The record is from RNAcentral.